This 1601-nucleotide long non-coding RNA is filed under the name Salmo salar (Atlantic salmon). RNAcentral describes it as "lncRNA (ENSSSAG00000098165.1)". Lineage: Eukaryota; Metazoa; Chordata; Actinopteri; Salmoniformes; Salmonidae. The record is from RNAcentral.
UGGGCACAGCCCCAAUCAAAACUGGAACUGAUAGAAAUGAAGCCGAGAUGGAGUGCAAAUGUCCCCUGCUCCAGAUACAGUCAGUUCUGCUGCAAAACAUCCAUCCACCUGCUCCCCUUUACCGAACACAUUUCCCCCUGUCUGUUCUGAGCAGAAGAGACGUAUUUGGGACACUCAUUACCCUCAUAGUAAAAAGAGGUCAGAGCAACUUAAAGAAGUAGACAUACAUUUUAUUUACUUGUUCUGUACAUAAAGGGCCAUACCAGGACAGGUGUUAACCAUGGGAAAUAUUAAGACAUGUAAAUGGUAUAAGAAAAUAAAAAGGCACAAUUUUUUAUUUUGAAUUAAGACAACACGGAGGCACUCUAAAACAUGAGGGAAAAAACAGUAAUACUGUUAAUGCCUUUACAAAGCACGUUGAUAAAAAAUAUGUUUACCCAACUAAAACGUAAAUUAAAAUUGGUGUAUUGCUUAAUCAGAGGGUUUAAUAUGGAGGUUGCACAAGGAAAACCAAACUACAUUUGAAUGGAUUGAUUCCACAGAUGCCAUAAAAACAAGUCUAAUUCAUAUUUUAAUGAGGAAAUUGUCAAUGAGACAAAGCAGCAUUUGACCUGGGAGAGGCCAAGAGGUCAUGCACAGAGGCCACCAGCAGGCAUUUUUUUCCCUUUAAAAAGUCACCUUCAGUCUAAUUGUUUACAAGGUUAUUAAAACAAAUAUUAAAUGCUCAAUUCAACAGUUGGCUAACAAAAAAACACUACAGUCAGGACAUGAUUGAUAGUUGUACAAUGGUAUUACUCUACCCAAUGAAAAAGCUCAGGGGGAUUGAUGGGCAAGCUCUAGGGAAGAGACAACAGGAAGGGUAAGUCUUCUUUACAGCAGAGAUCUAAUGAAGCACUUUAUCAGCACACUCACACUAAGACCAGAGAGCAGGACAGCUCUGGCAUCACAAUGUCAGUCAGACAUAACCAAAGACAACCAAGUUUUCUUCUCAGGUCCUGUGCUUGACAGUCAACACUGGCUAGAGAUGAGAGUCAGGGGUGUAACCAAUCACCACCUUAGGGAACCUGGGGAGGAAACAGGGAAGGAUUGCUUGUACUAAAGUUGCAUUUUUCAGUGAAAGGCAUUGAUGGGUUGUCAUUGGCUGGCUGCAACCUUUGCCCACCUCCUGUGACCCAUAUCAUUGGAUGCAUGAGGCAUCCGUCUCAUAGAAAAGCCCUUACCCCUCAACAGCAUUUAUAAGUCCUCUUACAACAUUGGCUAUAGCCUGGUCACAGUCAUGCACUUAUACUACGACAAAUGCCUCGCUCAGCACUCCUGAAUUUAUGGCACAAAUUAAACAAAAUAUGUCUUCACAUAUGGCCAUUUCACAUGUAGUCUGGGGAAAACAUAAAUAACGAAACUGUCAACUAGGUCUGUGUCACUGAGGCUAUGGGCUAUUCCACAAGGCAGAAUCCAUGUGGGCUUGAACUCCUGUCAACCUCUCCCUUGUCCUCCUGCCCAAGUCAGCUCAGCUUGUGUCAGACAAGAGAGACUGAUCCACACACACACACACACACACACACACACACACACACACACACACACACACACACACACACACA